GGAGGUGCUGGAUCAUGAGACUUCCCAGCGCUUACUAGCCCGAAAUGGCUGGCACACCGGGUGUGAUUUGCGAGCGGUUUGUAGAUUUGUUUUCCGGGAUUCUUCAGUCGGAUACAUAAUAUUUUCUCUGCCAGUCUGUUGCUGCCACCCUAGGGAUUUUCUGCUGUUUGAGAUUUGUGAUGUACAUUUGUCUGUUAUAUAGGUGGUCAGUGGUUAUCUGUGCUCUUUUUAUUGGAAGUGCAUAUCGGAAAUGUCCAAAACUCGAGGCGUCUUUUGGAACUAGAUUAAAUGCAACAUGCUCAUAACUUCUUUAUUUGGUGCUCCGUGUGGUCACCCGUGCUAGUAUCUAGAAUCAGUUUGGCUAAUUCACAUCUAGAUGUUUUCGAAGGAUGUCACAUCUAAACUUCCGCAAAUAACGCAGCAACAAGGAACAAAAAAAACUGGAACAAAAAAAAAUAGACCAUAAACAUAGUGGACAUCAGGUUAAAUAUGACAUAGAUUGGCAGAACUAUGUCACAUAUAGAUGUGUCCUAGAUAGACCCAUCUAGAAUCUUGACAGAAUCUCAGCAAUGUCAAUUUUUUCGCAUCUAAUCUCAAGAUGGAUGGCAUGAUGGGAAAUUCGGAACCGGCUGUCCAAACACUUAUAGCUUUUGAGUGGGGAACAAUUCUUUUGAUUCAAAAAACUUGGAGAUACACCUCGACAAAAGGAAGGGUGGCAUGGCAUAUAGCUCGACAGCUCGUGAGUACAGAAAAAGAAAGUGGGAGCACCUACUCAUCAGGUGCCUGAAAAGAGUGUUUGCAUUAGUCACUUUGUUUCCCGUCCGUUAGAUCGAAAUCCAACAGUCCACAUCCCCCCUUCCUCCUCAAGCAUGACUCGUUCACGUUCUUCCUCACGUAGCUGCCCUUUGACCCAGCCCUAACCGUUUGCUAUCGCUGCCCCGGUCAUCCCUCUACCCGCCGACCCCCCGUACCUCCCUCCCCAUUAAGUUUUUUUCUCGCCUCUACCUGGGACGUACAACGGCUCGCUGUUGCUUGCAUCGUCGUCCUCGGCUCCGAUAAGGUCCCGGCUCAGCCUCGGUGUGGUUGACGCUUGUCACUGCCGCUCCUCACGUCAUCCCCACCUUUGACCUCAUGCAAAGCGGAAAUCGACUCGCACGGGAAAAAAAUCAGGCACCUAACAGUUAACAAACCAAAAAAAAACACG
RNAcentral lists this long non-coding RNA (1204 nucleotides) under Triticum aestivum (bread wheat). RNAcentral's name for it is "long non-coding RNA (TAES_LNC002143)". The record is from RNAcentral. Lineage: Eukaryota; Viridiplantae; Streptophyta; Magnoliopsida; Poales; Poaceae.